This 886-nucleotide ribosomal RNA is filed under the name uncultured bacterium. RNAcentral describes it as "bacterial SSU rRNA". It matches the Rfam family "Bacterial small subunit ribosomal RNA", at positions 8 to 942 of the family's 1533-position model. The record is from RNAcentral.
AGAGUUUGAUCAUGGCUCAGAACGUACGCUGGCGGCACGCCUUAUACAUGCAAGUCGAACGAAGUAGCAAUACUUAGUGGCAGACGGGUGAGUAACAUGUAGGUAUCUACCCUUUGGUGAGGAAUAACACGAGGAAACUUGUGCUAAUACCUCAUAAGUCUUUACGGAGAAAGCUUUAUGCGCCGAAGGAUGAGCCUGCACUUGAUUAGUUUGUUGGUGGGGUAAUGGCCUACCAAGACUUUGAUCUAUAGCUGAUCUGAGAGGAUGAUCAGCCACAUUGGGACUGAGACACGGCCCAAACUCCUACGGGAGGCAGCAGUAGGGAAUAUUGCACAAUGGAGGAAACUCUGAUGCAGCGAUGCCGCGUGAGUGAAGAAGGCCUUUGGGUUGUAAAGCUCUUUCGUCGGGGAAGAAAAUGACUGUACCCGAAUAAGAAGGUCCGGCUAACUUCGUGCCAGCAGCCGCGGUAAUACGAAGGGACCUAGCGUAGUUCGGAAUUACUGGGCUUAAAGAGUUCGUAGGUGGUUAAAAAAGUUGGUGGUGAAAUCCCAGAGCUUAACUCUGGAACUGCCAUCAAAACUUUUUAGCUAGAGUAUGAUAGAGGAAAGCAGAAUUUCUAGUGUAGAGGUGAAAUUCGUAGAUAUUAGAAAGAAUACCAAUUGCGAAGGCAGCUUUCUGGAUCAUUACUGACGCUGAGGAACGAAAGCAUGGGUAGCGAAGAGGAUUAGAUACCCUCGUAGUCCAUGCCGUAAACGAUGUGUGUUAGACGUUGGAAAUUUAUUUCCAGUGUCGCAGCGAAAGCGUUAAACACACCGCCUGGGGAGUACGACCGCAAGGUUAAAACUCAAAUGAAUUGACGGGGACCCGCACAAGUAGUGGAGCAUGU